This 860-nucleotide small RNA is filed under the name Drosophila mojavensis. RNAcentral describes it as "GI26087". Lineage: Eukaryota; Metazoa; Arthropoda; Insecta; Diptera; Drosophilidae. The record is from RNAcentral.
CGCAUCCCAACUUAACAAGCGGGUCAACGUUGCGUAUGCGUUACAUUUCACUUUCGUUGCGAACAGAGCCGACCGUAGGCACGAGGACGCGGAGAUGAACGAGGAUUGGGGGCAGGAAGGACGAUUGGCGGCCGCAUGUAAAGCGCUGCCUUUUCAAUUUCAAUUUCAGUUCCCGUGACAACCUCGACGCGUUCAGUUCUGUGCCAAUCGGUGAAAAAAUACAGCCACAACGUGCGCAAGUCGCGUGCGGACUUCUGCUAAGCGCGCCGUGGAACGCAACGUGCGGGCAUUAGGGACUGAAACUCAAACCGUGCCGAACCGAACUGAACCGAACCGAAAAUCAAGUAGAGUACCGUUCAAAUCAUCGCUUCAGCUCAGCUUUCAUAGCCAACACGUGUUGGCCUCGCAUUAGAAAGCUCAUUGCGAAGGGCACUUGACACGAACCGUAAGUCAAACGGUCAAAAGGCCACAGCAAAACGCUUUAAUUGCGUCUGGCUAAAGGGAUUUACUGCUUACCCUCAAAGGGCUCCGUUUUUGUGCGUUCGAGUAAGCGGUUUAAGUGAAUUGUGCGUGUAUCACAAGUCGGGCCAGAGACAUCACCCAAUCGAGCUUUGUGCCAGCAGCGGACUCAGUCGACUGUCUAGCCGACAGACCGAAUAGCAAAUCACACCUAAAGCAGCGGGCAACUGACCUCCAUCUGUGCAGCAAUCAACACUAUUCCCACUCCACCGUGACAACUCUGGCAGCUUCAAUUUGGAAAUCAAUGGAUUGCAAUUAUGAGCAAGCUAAGUGAAGCCCGAGAAAAGUUCAUUAGCAGCAGCUACAAUAACAACAACAACAGCAGCAACAACAGCAGCAGC